AGCCUUGUGGUGUAAACACGUUAGGUUGCAAACCUAAAGAUGCAAAUUACCAUUUGCCCAGGCUU
RNAcentral lists this transfer RNA (65 nucleotides) under Opsaridium microlepis (mpasa). RNAcentral's name for it is "tRNA-Cys". It matches the Rfam family "tRNA". Rfam says of the family: Transfer RNA (tRNA) molecules are approximately 80 nucleotides in length. Their secondary structure includes four short double-helical elements and three loops (D, anti-codon, and T loops). Lineage: Eukaryota; Metazoa; Chordata; Actinopteri; Cypriniformes; Danionidae. The record is from RNAcentral.